AUGGCUGGUGUUCUAACGUAGACCCGUAAUCCGGGUUGCGGACAGUGUCUGGUGGGUAGUUUGACUGGGGCGGUCUCCUCCCAAAGAGUAACGGAGGAGCACGAAGGUUAGCUAAUCCUGGUCGGACAUCAGGAGGUUAGUGCAAUGGCAUAAGCUAGCUUGACUGCGAGAGUGACGGCUCGAGCAGGUGCGAAAGCAGGUCAUAGUGAUCCGGUGGUUCUGAAUGGAAGGGCCAUCGCUCAACGGAUAAAAGGUACUCCGGGGAUAACAGGCUGAUACCGCCCAAGAGUUCAUAUCGACGGCGGUGUUUGGCACCUCGAUGUCGGCUCAUCACAUCCUGGGGCUGAAGUAGGUCCCAAGGGUAUGGCUGUUCGCCAUUUAAAGUGGUACGCGAGCUGGGUUUAGAACGUCGUGAGACAGUUCGGUCCCUAUCUGCCGUGGGCGCUGGAGAAUUGAGGGGGGCUGCUCCUAGUACGAGAGGACCGGAGUGGACGCAUCACUGGUGUUCGGGUUGUCAUGCCAAUGGCACUGCCCGGUAGCUAAAUGCGGAAAAGAUAAGUGCUGAAAGCAUCUAAGCACGAAACUUGCCCCGAGAUGAGUUCUCCCUGAGACUUUAAGUCUCCUGAAGGAACGUUGAAGACGACGACGUUGAUAGGUCGGGUGUGUAAGCGCAGCGAUGCGUUGAGCUAACCGAUACUAAUGAACCGUGAGGCUUAACCUU
This 721-nucleotide ribosomal RNA is filed under the name Enterobacter roggenkampii. Its description in RNAcentral is "partial 23S ribosomal RNA". It matches the Rfam family "Bacterial large subunit ribosomal RNA", at positions 2210 to 2925 of the family's 2925-position model. The record is from RNAcentral. Lineage: Bacteria; Pseudomonadati; Pseudomonadota; Gammaproteobacteria; Enterobacterales; Enterobacteriaceae.